Molecule: long non-coding RNA, 446 nt
Organism: Oncorhynchus tshawytscha (Chinook salmon)
Lineage: Eukaryota; Metazoa; Chordata; Actinopteri; Salmoniformes; Salmonidae
Source: Ensembl
GUGGAGGCUAUAUACAGGGGUACCGGUACAGAGUCAAUGUGGAGGCUAUAUACAGGGGGUACCGGUACAGAGUCAAUGUGGAGGCUAUAUACAGGGGGUACCGGUACAGAGUCAAUGUGGAGGCUAUAUACAGGGGUACCGGUACAGAGUCAAUGUGGAGGCUAUAUACAGGGGGUACCGGUACAGAGUCAAUGUGGAGGCUGUAUACAGGGGGUACCGGUACAGAGUCAAUGUGGAGGCUAUAUACAGGGUGUACCAGUACAGAGUCAAUGUGGAGGCUAUAUACAGGGGGUAACGGUACAGAGACAAUGUGGAGGCUAUAUACAGGGGUACUGGUACAGAGUCAAUGUGGAGGCUAUAUACAGGGGGUACCGGUACAGAGUCAAUGUGGAGGCUAUAUACAGGGGGUACCGGUACAGAGUCAAUGUGGAGGCUAUAUACAGGGG